GUAGGUGGCAAGCGUUGUCCGGGAAUUAUUGGGGCGUAAAGCGCGCGCAGGCGGUUCUCUAAGUCUGAUGUGAAAGCCCACGGGCUCAACCGUGGAGGGUCAUUGGAAACUGGAGAACUUGAGUACAGAAGAGGAAAGCGGAAUUCCACGUGUAGCGGUGAAAUGCGUAGAGAUGUGGAGGAACACCAGUGGCGAAGGCGGCUUUCAGGUCUGUAACUGACGCUGAGGCGCGAAAGCGUGGGGAGCAAACAGGAUUAGAUACCCUGGUAGUCCACGCCGUAAACGAUGAGUGCUAAGUGUUAGGGGGUUUCCGCCCCUUAGUGCUGCAGCUAACGCAUUAAGCACUCCGCCUGGGGAGUACGGCCGCAAAGGCUGA
RNAcentral lists this ribosomal RNA (376 nucleotides) under uncultured organism. RNAcentral's name for it is "partial 16S ribosomal RNA". It matches the Rfam family "Bacterial small subunit ribosomal RNA", at positions 527 to 897 of the family's 1533-position model. The record is from RNAcentral.